Molecule: small nuclear RNA, 22 nt
Filed under: Arabidopsis thaliana (thale cress)
Lineage: Eukaryota; Viridiplantae; Streptophyta; Magnoliopsida; Brassicales; Brassicaceae
Description: snRNA_06257
Source: RNAcentral
UACAAAAGUUUAUGUCGCCACC